This is a long non-coding RNA of Plutella xylostella (diamondback moth), 715 nucleotides long. RefSeq lists it as uncharacterized. The record is from RefSeq and is a predicted model, not a curated record. NCBI's taxonomy places the organism in Eukaryota, Metazoa, Arthropoda, Insecta, Lepidoptera, Plutellidae.
CUGCAGCCUUACUCCCAGCGAUGAGUGGCUGAAUCGAUUUCACAAAUAUCGCUAAUUUCUUACUCCCACCGCACAUUUUUGCGGCUCAUUGUGUUAUGACGUCACGCAAACCGUUCAGUGAAAAUUAUAGCGUUACUAAGCCAGAAAUUCGCACCACGAGCUCAUCACACAGACUAGAUUAUAAUGUCAAAAUUGCACUGAGCCGCCCCUUUGAAAAAAGUUCCUAUUCUUGCAACGCAAAGCCAUUACAAUGGCUAAUUUUCCUAUUUUUGUAAGAAAAACAGCCUGUAAUUAUACCUACAAAGUGAUGUGAAAGUAGUUACUGAGGAUACGUGAGGAUUGCAAACCAGUCUCCCUGGAUAUUCAAAGGAGUUGACGGACAAUUUGAUUGAAGACUUUAGCUCCAUGAAACUAGCUGAUUUUAGCGUAACAAAUAAGGUUUUUACUGCGUUGCAACUGGCUCCAGACUGGAAUUUAUUACCCAGACUAAAUAUUCAAGUGCCUAUCUGAAGUUCUUAACAACAAGUUGUAUUAAGAUCUUAUGAAGUUAAUACCUACAUAAGAAACUAAAUUGGCAUAUCAUUCUGCUACUGAAUAAUCAAGAAGCAGUUUUUUAGCUAAUAGAAGAGAACCUUAUGCUUGAUAUUUCAGAACACUAAUAAUAAUUGUGAUGUGAUUUAAUAUGAUACUUAAUAAACACAAAAUACAGCAAAAA